GGCCGUGUGGCGAAAUGGCAUCGCGUCUGACUACGAUCAGUACGUGCACUUCUGAUCACGUGAUCUCGCAAUCAGGAGAUUGUAGGUUCGACCCCUACCUCGGUCA
This is a non-coding RNA of Psilocybe cubensis, 106 nucleotides long. NCBI's taxonomy places the organism in Eukaryota, Fungi, Basidiomycota, Agaricomycetes, Agaricales, Agrocybaceae. The record is from the annotation of a RefSeq genome assembly.